GAUGAACGCUAGCGGCAGGCCUAAUACAUGCAAGUCGAACGAGAUUACGAGGCUUUCUUCUUAUGAAAGUUGCCCACGGGUGCGUAACGCGUAUGCAACCUACCUUCAUCAGGGGGAUAGCCCGCAUAAAUUCGGAUUAACACCUCCCAAAAACACUGUAUAGCAUUAUCCAAUGUUAAAAUAUUUAUAGGAUUAUGAUGGGCAUGCGUGUCUUUAGCUCGUUGGCGGGGUAACGGCCCACCAAGGCGACGAUGACUAGCGGAUCUGAGAGGAUGACCACCGAAACUGGUACUGAGACACGGACCCGACGCCUACGAGAGGCAGCAGUAAGGAAUAUUGGGCAAUGGAGGGAACGCUGAAACAGCCAUGCCGCGUGCAGGAAGACAGCCCUCUGGGUCGGAAACUGCUUUUAUGCGGGAAUAAACCUUUCUACGUGUAGGAAGCUGAAUGUACCGAAGGAAUAAGGAUCGGCUAACUCCGU
RNAcentral lists this ribosomal RNA (481 nucleotides) under uncultured bacterium. RNAcentral's name for it is "partial 16S ribosomal RNA". It matches the Rfam family "Bacterial small subunit ribosomal RNA", at positions 28 to 506 of the family's 1533-position model. The record is from RNAcentral.